This is a long non-coding RNA of Xiphophorus hellerii (green swordtail), 840 nucleotides long. RefSeq lists it as uncharacterized. The transcript has 2 exons. NCBI's taxonomy places the organism in Eukaryota, Metazoa, Chordata, Actinopteri, Cyprinodontiformes, Poeciliidae. The record is from RefSeq and is a predicted model, not a curated record.
CGUGUCCCAUCAUGCCUUUUGUUGUGCCUGUUCUGUUCUCUGUCGAUCAUAUCAUGAUUUAUCUGUUUUCAUGAGUGGAGCUUUUUUGCGUGAUGUUCCAGGUUUCUCUUGAUGCCAUCUUGUUUUUCAGAAGUGUUUAGUAAACAGUGCCGUUCAUUUUGCUGUGUUCUUACAUUUUCACUUUACCAACUUGUUUUUGUUAGAUCUCCGUUUAAAAAGGCUGUCAGCUGCCUUUGUAUUAUCUUUGUAUAAUCUAACAUAAAUACAAAGAUAAAUGUUUGUGUCUGCAUGCCAAUGUCCAAUGUUGGUUUACGGUAACUAAUUCUAUCUCUACCACUGCAUUUAUUUAAUUUAUUCCUGAAUACUAUUCAAUUACCUUCCAAUCAAAUUAUAUUUUAAGAUAUAAAUGAAAACAUGUUAUCUCUGGAAAGUCUGACACCUUUUGUAUUUUUGCACAAAAUUAUCUCUUUUUUUCUGCAGCAAAAACUAACAAGAGAAUUUCUGAAUAUAAUGCUGUUUUAAAAGAUUAUUUCAUGUCCUUCAAUAAAUUGUAGGCUUUUGUACCCAACAAUCAAUACAGUAAUGUAGGCUGGCCAUUAUUUGAAUAAUUUCCCCACCAGAUCCAACUAAUUUAGAUGUGUUCAAGUGGCCUCUUAACUUAUUUCAGGUGGUUUUGUGGUGAAGGUUGUAGGAAAGAAGUUUAGGAUUUUUUAAUAUUUGUUGACAAAAAAAAAAAAACACUUCUAGAGUUUUUUACUGAAAACUCUAGAAGUUUUCAAGUUUUCUAAAACUCUAGAAGUAAAAACUUCUAGAAGUUUUAGUGCAUUUUUAGAGUGCAGU